GGGUGAGUAACGCGUGAGGAACCUGCCUCAAAGAGGGGGACAACAGUUGGAAACGACUGCUAAUACCGCAUAAGCCCACGGCUCGGCAUCGAGCAGAGGGAAAAGGAGUGAUCCGCUUUGAGAUGGCCUCGCGUCCGAUUAGCUAGUUGGUGAGGUAACGGCCCACCAAGGCGACGAUCGGUAGCCGGACUGAGAGGUUGAACGGCCACAUUGGGACUGAGACACGGCCCAGACUCCUACGGGAGGCAGCAGUGGGGAAUAUUGCACAAUGGGGGAAACCCUGAUGCAGCGACGCCGCGUGGAGGAAGAAGGUCUUCGGAUUGUAAACUCCUGUUGUUGAGGAAGAUAAUGACGGUACUCAACAAGGAAGUGACGGCUAACUACGUGCCAGCAGCCGCGGUAAAACGUAGGUCACAAGCGUUGUCCGGAAUUACUGGGUGUAAAGGGAGCGCAGGCGGGAGAACAAGUUGGAAGUGAAGUCCAUGGGCUCAACCCAUGAACUGCUUUCAAAACUGUUUUUCUUGAGUAGUGCAGAGGUAGGCGGAAUUCCCGGUGUAGCGGUGGAAUGCGUAGAUAUCGGGAGGAACACCAGUGGCGAAGGCGGCCUACUGGGCACCAACUGACGCUGAGGCUCGAAAGUGUGGGUAGCAAACAGGAUUAGAUACCCUGGUAGUCCACACCGUAAACGAUGAUUACUAGGUGUUGGAGGAUU
Molecule: ribosomal RNA, 712 nt
Filed under: uncultured bacterium
Lineage: Bacteria
Description: bacterial SSU rRNA
Rfam family: Bacterial small subunit ribosomal RNA
Source: RNAcentral